AUUGAACGCUGGCGGCAGGCUUAACACAUGCAAGUCGAGCGGUAACAGAGAGAAGCUUGCUUCUCUGCUGACGAGCGGCGGACGGGUGAGUAAUGCCUAGGAAUCUGCCUAGUAGUGGGGGAUAACUUGCCGAAAGGUAAGCUAAUACCGCAUACGUCCUACGGGAGAAAGGAGGGGACCUUCGGGCCUUUCGCUAUUAGAUGAGCCUAGGUCGGAUUAGUUAGUUGGUGAGGUAAUGGCUCACCAAGACCGCGAUCCGUAACUGGUCUGAGAGGACGAUCAGUCACACUGGAACUGAGACACGGUCCAGACUCCUACGGGAGGCAGCAGUGGGGAAUAUUGGACAAUGGGGGGAACCCUGAUCCAGCCAUGCCGCGUGUGUGAAGAAGGUCUUAGGAUUGUAAAGCACUUUAAGUUGGGAGGAAGAGCAGUUAACUAAUAUUUGACUGUUUUGACGUUACCGACAGAAUAAGCACCGGCUAACUUCGUGCCAGCCGCCGCCGUAA
This 506-nucleotide ribosomal RNA is filed under the name uncultured bacterium. RNAcentral describes it as "partial 16S ribosomal RNA". It matches the Rfam family "Bacterial small subunit ribosomal RNA", at positions 30 to 523 of the family's 1533-position model. The record is from RNAcentral.